Molecule: long non-coding RNA, 691 nt
Filed under: Equus caballus (horse)
Lineage: Eukaryota; Metazoa; Chordata; Mammalia; Perissodactyla; Equidae
Description: lncRNA (ENSECAG00000060376.1)
Source: RNAcentral
CUUUCUCCCCACCUAGGGCUGCUCCAGUUGCUGUCAGCUCCUCCCGAGUCUGGCUCCACGCCGCCCCUGCCAGGGUCUUUGUGUUCCAAGCUCGCCUCUCUGCUAGCAGGGGAGGACUGUGCUGGGAGGAUUUGGGGCACGAAGGAGCCCAGGUUGAAUGUCAAAGCUUAGAGAUCACAGGAACCUGAGCCCUCGGACAGAAUGGUCUUACCCACAGCGAUCCAGGCCAGAGGGGCAGAGCAAAAAGUAGACCGGGGUCUCCUGACUUCCCAGCCAGGACACUUCCCAUGACAUCCUGACGUGUGCCCAGAGGCGGCCUGGCGCUCCCUGCAUGUGCCCGGGGAACAGCCAGCUCCCCACCUCACGCCUGCGCCAUCACUGGGCAUUCGGGUUGUUUCUCCUUUGAUUGUUUAUGAUUGAAGAUGACAUGGCUGUAAACAUCUAACAUCUGAGUUUAAAUGGCUUCUUUUGGAUUGUUUUUCCUCAGGCUAAUGUCCUCAGAGUAGAAUUACUGGGUCAAGAAGUACAGACAGUGUUGUAGCUGGAAGUGAGCUAGAUGUAGCAACUCUCCCACAGAAGGGAACCUCUUAUUUGCCAGAAACCGUAAGAUGUCUGGCGAUGGUGUUGGAAGCAGGUCAGGGAGUGGAAAGAGGGCCCGGGGCUGAAUCUUCAAGCGGGCAGUGGGAGACAG